Molecule: RNA transcript, 1195 nt
Organism: Carlito syrichta (Philippine tarsier)
Lineage: Eukaryota; Metazoa; Chordata; Mammalia; Primates; Tarsiidae
Gene name: nuclear protein localization protein 4 homolog pseudogene
Exons: 1
Source: RefSeq, a predicted model, not a curated record
CAACGGUUUCUGCGGUGAGGGAGGCCGGGGCGGGGCUGAGGUCCGGGCUGGGGCUGUGAAGCCUUUGGGGUGGCAGGCAGCGGUGGCCCGGGACUCGAGCCUGGAGGCAGAAUCGGCCGCCAUGGCUGAGAGCAUCAUAAUCCGUGUCCAGUCCCCUGAUGGGGUGAAGCGGAUCAGAGCAACAAAGAGAGAAACAGCUGCAACAUUUUUGAAAAAGGCAUGGCGAUUUGUUGUUCCUGUUUCCCUUGAGACUUGCUGGGCCCUCAUCUGAAAUGGAGACAUCAGCUCCACUGGGGUUUAAGACCUUGGGCACUCCCAGCGUGGUGGAAGAUGAGAGCAAUCUGUACCUCAGCAAACAGGAUGGGAAGAUUUACAGAAGCCGAGACCCACAGCUAUGCCGCCAUGGCCCUUUGGGGAAGUGUGUUCACUGUGUCCCUCCAGAGCCAUUCGAGGAGGACUACCUAAACCGGCUUGAGCCUCCUGUGAAGCAUAUGUCCUUCCAUGCCUACAUCCGAAAACUGACUAGAGAGGCUGACAAGGGGAAAUUUGUUGCCCUGUAGAACAUCAGUUGCAAGAUUAAAUCAGGGUGUGAGGGACACCUCCCAUGGCCUAACGGUAUCUGCACUAAGUCCCAGCCAAGUGCCAUCAGGCUGAACAGACAGAAAUACAGACAUGUGGACAAUAUCAUGUUCGAAAAUCACACUGCUGCUGACCGCUUCCUUGACUUCUGGAAAAAGACAGGGAACCAGCAUUUUGGGUACUUAUUGGACGGUACGGAGCACAAUGACAUUCCCCUGCGCAUCAGAGCUGAGGUGGCUGCAAUUUAUGAACCUCCUCAGAUUGGGACACAGAACAGCUUGGAGCUUCUUGACGAUCCAAAAGCUGAGGUGGUUGAUGAAAUUGCUGCCAAGCUUGGCCUGAGGAAGGCUGAAUGGAUAUUUACAGACCUUGUCUCAGAAGAUACCUGAAAGGGUAUAUAGUUCGAUACAGUCGAAAUAAGGACACCUAUUUCCUGAGUUCAGAAGAGUACAUUACUGCAGGAGACUUCCAAAAUAAGCAUCCCAACAUAUGUCGACUCUCUCCAGAUGGACAUUUUGGAUCAAAAAGAGAAAAAGAAAGCUGGAUGGUGCUGCUGGGGGCUCCUCGCCUGUGGCCACUGCCGCCAUGUGGGCUUGUCAGCAUUGCACCUUCAUGA